RNAcentral lists this ribosomal RNA (464 nucleotides) under uncultured Desulfobulbus sp. Its description in RNAcentral is "bacterial SSU rRNA". It matches the Rfam family "Bacterial small subunit ribosomal RNA", at positions 925 to 1382 of the family's 1533-position model. Lineage: Bacteria; Pseudomonadati; Thermodesulfobacteriota; Desulfobulbia; Desulfobulbales; Desulfobulbaceae. The record is from RNAcentral.
ACAAGCGGUGGAGUAUGUGGUUAAUUCGAUGCAACGCGAAGAACCUUACCUGGUCUUGACAUCCCGGAGACCCUUAGGAAACUAGGGGGUGCCUUUCCAUCUGGAAGAAUCUGGAGACAGGUGCUGCAUGGCUGUCGUCAGCUCGUGUCGUGAGAUGUUGGGUUAAGUCCCGCAACGAGCGCAACCCUUGCCUUUAGUUGCCAGCAGUUCGGCUGGGCACUCUAAAGGGACUGCCGGUGUUAAACCGGAGGAAGGUGGGGAUGACGUCAAGUCCUCAUGGCCUUUAUGACCAGGGCUACACACGUACUACAAUGGCCGAUACAAAGGGCAGCGACACUGCGAGGUGAAGCCAAUCCCGUAAAAUCGGUCUCAGUCCGGAUUGGAGUCUGCAACUCGACUCCAUGAAGUUGGAAUCGCUAGUAAUCGUGGAUCAGCAUGCCACGGUGAAUACGUUCCCGGGCCUU